UACCUGGGGCCAGCAAUGCA
This 20-nucleotide unclassified non-coding RNA is filed under the name Mus musculus (house mouse). RNAcentral describes it as "oocyte_clustered_small_RNA12263". The record is from RNAcentral. Lineage: Eukaryota; Metazoa; Chordata; Mammalia; Rodentia; Muridae.